This is a regulatory RNA element of 128 nucleotides. It matches the Rfam family "Ribosomal S15 leader". Rfam says of the family: The E. coli Ribosomal S15 gene 5' UTR can form two alternative structures. One that is a series of three hairpins, The other includes a pseudoknot. The record is from Rfam.
ACCCGAGACUGCAAGUAUGCGUGGUCUCAUCCUCAUUCAUUUUUCAGGCAUAUUGCUUACUGGAGAGAAAGAUGGCACUAACAGCUGAACAGAAAGCCGAGAUUGUUACCGAAUACGCACGUGGUGAU